CAGGGAAUAGUUUAAGUAGAACUUCAGCUUUGGGUGUUGAUAGUGGGGCUAUAG
This 54-nucleotide transfer RNA is filed under the name Myotragus balearicus (Balearic islands cave goat). RNAcentral describes it as "partial tRNA-Pro". Lineage: Eukaryota; Metazoa; Chordata; Mammalia; Artiodactyla; Bovidae. The record is from RNAcentral.